This 939-nucleotide ribosomal RNA is filed under the name Triticum aestivum (bread wheat). RNAcentral describes it as "partial small subunit ribosomal RNA". The record is from RNAcentral. Lineage: Eukaryota; Viridiplantae; Streptophyta; Magnoliopsida; Poales; Poaceae.
AUGAGCAGGCUGGCGUCGGAGCUCCACCGGUUGCGGAGGUCGCCAUGGGAGGUGCUGUGCUCCGCGCUGGUAUCAUGCGGCCUGGUGCUCUUCUCGCAGCUCGCCGUGGCCAUAGUGCCCCGCCUCCUCCCAUCCAUCUCCCUCCUCGCCAUGCUCCCCGUCGCAGGUUUGGUAUUCCUGGCGGCUAUUCUGGUGGGCAGGUUCUGGAGGAGGUUCAUCGGAGUGGCCGCGUCGGCGCCGCUGUUCGUGCUGUUCAAUGUGCUGUUUUUGUGGGGCGUCUACCUAUUCGUCAUCCGGAGAGAUACCUCUUCUCUACUAGACAUGCUGAUUAAUGCUGAGUGUGCACUGCUUCUGUGGGGACUUUACAGGAUUCUUUCUGGUGAUCCCGGCAUUGUUGCAUACGAAUCUUCAUUUUUGGAAGAGGCUGGCUGCAAGGAUUUCGUGGAUGCUAUAUGCUCGAGUGAGAAGUACCCAUCACUCUCAAGGGUGAGGCAUUGUAACUGUUGCAAAGCAAAUGUUAGAGGUUAUGACCACCAUUGCCCUGCAUUUGGUAAUUGCAUAGGACAGAAAAAUCAUAGGUUAUUUAUGGCACUUCUGACAGGAUUUGUUGUUGCUGAAUCGACAUAUACAAUGUGUUCAACUAAAUAUAUAACUAGAUGCAUAACCUCAGGAACUUUAAUAACUGAGAAUCAUUUGUCUCUAAACAUGGUGAUCGGCACAAUGCUCUUCUCAGUCCUCCAAGUGGUAUGGCAGGUUGUGUUCCUGAUAUGGCAUGUGUACGGCAUCUGCUUCAACAUCAGGACGCAUGAGUGGAUAAACUGGAAGAAAUAUCCUGAAUUCCAAAUGAAGGAACAGCCUCAGUCAGAUUUUGAAGUCAAGUUUGUCAAUCCAUACGACAAAGGCAUGCUUUGUAACAUUAGGGAGUUCCUGAAGCCGUAA